CUACUCCCUUCUACGCAGAGCUUAUUCUUCAUCUCUGUUUUGUCAAGGACCCACUUUACACAAAAUUCUUGAAUAAGUGAACAUUUUUCCUUGGUCACGGUUUGGUCGUGUCAUUUGUCGUCAUUGUGUAAAAGUAUGUAUUCGUUAUAUUAAAAGUAAGGGGCUAACUAUUGUGUAACAUGGGCUGGAAAAAGCGUGCCUUCUUCUGGGACACAUCUGCUGAGGAGAUUUCUUGAAGGGAACCGUUCGACCUUUCAUAUGGAGAAACUGAUGGGGAUGCUGAUCCUCUGGAAACAAACGAAGAAGGAGAUGAUUUGAUGCAAAAUGAGAAAGCUCCAGAUGCCGCAAACAAUAUAGAUGUCCUUCUAAACCAAACCCAAGUCUUGCUAGAUCAAGCCCAACUUCUGGUGAGGAUCGUACAGGGACAAGUUUAAAAAGACAUUGCAAAUUAUACGAAUUUUUGCAAAUUUAUUUACUUGUACUGUGUAAUAAGUAUUUAAAAGAAAUAAAAAAACAGAU
This is a long non-coding RNA of Folsomia candida, 519 nucleotides long. RefSeq lists it as uncharacterized. The record is from RefSeq and is a predicted model, not a curated record. Lineage: Eukaryota; Metazoa; Arthropoda; Collembola; Entomobryomorpha; Isotomidae. The transcript is spliced from 3 exons.